Molecule: ribosomal RNA, 391 nt
Filed under: uncultured bacterium
Lineage: Bacteria
Description: bacterial SSU rRNA
Rfam family: Bacterial small subunit ribosomal RNA
Source: RNAcentral
GAUGAACGCUAGCGGCAGGCUUAAUACAUGCAAGUCGAGGGGCAGCGCGGGUAGCAAUACCUGGCGGCGACCGGCAAACGGGUGCGGAACACGUACAGAACCUUCCUUUAAGCGGGGGAUAGCCUUCGGAACGGAGAUUAAUACCCACUAGUAUUGUUGGUCGGCAUCGAUUGACAAUUAAAGAAUUUAUUCACUUAAAGAUGGCUGUGCGGCUGAUUAGGUAGUUGGUGCAGGAACGGCUCACCAAGCCUUCGAUCAGUAACUGGUGUGAGAGCACGACCAGUCACACGGGCACUGAGACACGGGCCCGGACUCCUACGGGAGGCAGCAGUAAGGAAUAUUGGUCAAUGGACGCAAGUACUGAACCAGCCAUGCCGCGUGAAGGAUGAAA